This is a long non-coding RNA of Ictalurus punctatus (channel catfish), 478 nucleotides long. The record is from Ensembl. Lineage: Eukaryota; Metazoa; Chordata; Actinopteri; Siluriformes; Ictaluridae.
CUUGCUCACUCUGAUGCUGAUGUGUGUGUGUCGCCUGGGUCUGACGUCUCUCUCUCUCUCUCUCUCUCUCUCUCUGUACAUCUCUGAGUGUGUGUGUAAACAGGAUGAUGGAAGCUCACUCUCGUCCUCAAACCAUCACAUCAUCGUAAGUAACACACUGUGACGUUUGCGUACGUCAUGCAGCUCGAUGAAACAGACAGUGUAUUUGCUGAUCUGAACUCGGUGAUUCCUGAGACAGAGCUGCUGGAUAACAGCAUACAGAAGAGCCGAGCACCGCUACCGCUGAAGAGCAGGAGGAACCGACCAUCACGCUCGCGUCUCACUGACAGCCUGAGCUCCACCGAGGGGACGAGGGGCCCGACACCAGGUGUUGGUGUCAGAUGAAGUCAGGAUGAUAAUAUAGUCCCGAGUCCGACAGUCCCACUGUGGUUUCUGGAUAAAAACCAAACGGAGGUUCCUGGAUUUGGGUUUGAGUGUG